RNAcentral lists this ribosomal RNA (245 nucleotides) under uncultured bacterium. RNAcentral's name for it is "partial 16S ribosomal RNA". It matches the Rfam family "Bacterial small subunit ribosomal RNA", at positions 524 to 768 of the family's 1533-position model. The record is from RNAcentral.
UACGUAGGUGGCAAGCGUUGUCCGGAUUUACUGGGCGUAAAGGGUGUGUAGGCGGAUGUUUAAGUGAGAUGUGAAAUACCCGGGCUUAACUUGGGUGCUGCAUUUCAAACUGGAUAUCUAGAGUGUGGGAGAGGAGAAUGGAAUUCCUAGUGUAGCGGUGAAAUGCGUAGAGAUUAGGAAGAACACCAGUGGCGAAGGCGAUUCUCUGGACCAUAACUGACGCUGAGGCACGAAAGCGUGGGGAG